CCUACGGGAGGCAGCAGUGGGGAAUAUUGCACAAUGGGGGAAACCCUGAUGCAGCAACGCCGCGUGAGUGAUGACGGCCUUCGGGUUGUAAAGCUCUGUCUGCAGGGACGAUAAUGACGGUACCUGAGGAGGAAGCCACGGCAAACUACGUGCAAGCAGCCGCGGUCAUACGUCGGUCGCGCGCGUUAGCCGGAUUUACUGGGCUAAAAGGGGGCGUAGGUGGAAUUUUAUGUGAGGUGGGAAAUACGGGGGCUCAACCUGGAAAAGCGUUUAAAACUGGUUUUCUUGAGUGGGCGAGAGGUAAGCGGAAUGCCUAGUGUAGCAGUGAAAUGCGUAGAUAUCAGGAGGAACACCAGUGGCGAAGGCGGCUUACUGG
This 376-nucleotide ribosomal RNA is filed under the name uncultured bacterium. RNAcentral describes it as "partial 16S ribosomal RNA". It matches the Rfam family "Bacterial small subunit ribosomal RNA", at positions 338 to 732 of the family's 1533-position model. The record is from RNAcentral.